RNAcentral lists this ribosomal RNA (375 nucleotides) under uncultured organism. RNAcentral's name for it is "partial 16S ribosomal RNA". It matches the Rfam family "Bacterial small subunit ribosomal RNA", at positions 527 to 896 of the family's 1533-position model. The record is from RNAcentral.
GGAGGAGGCAAGCGUUGUCCGGAAUUAUUGGGCGUAAAGAGCGCGUAGGCUGUUUUUCAAGUCAUAUGUGAAAACCUCAGGCUUAACUUGAGGACUGCAUAUGAAACUGGAUAACUUGAGUGCAGUAGGGGAAAGUGGAAUUCCUGGUGUAGCGGUGAAAUGCGCAGAUAUCAGGAAGAACACCGGUAGCGAAGGCGGCUUUCUGGGCUGCUACUGACGCUGAGGCGCGAAAGCUAGGGGGGAGCAAACAGGAUUAGAUACCCUGGUAGUCCUAGCUGUAAACGAUGGACGCUAGGUGUGGGAAGUUAUCGACGCUUUCCGUGCCGGAGCUAACGCAUUAAGUGUCCCCGCCUGGGGAGUACGGCCGCAAGGCUA